Molecule: ribosomal RNA, 253 nt
Filed under: uncultured bacterium
Lineage: Bacteria
Description: partial 16S ribosomal RNA
Rfam family: Bacterial small subunit ribosomal RNA
Source: RNAcentral
UACGUAGGGGGCAAGCGUUGUCCGGAUUUAUUGGGCGUAAAGAGCGUGUAGGCGGCCAGGUAGGUCCGUUGUGAAAACUGGAGGCUUAACCUCCAGCUGUCGAUGGAAACCAUCUGGCUAGAGUCCGGAAGAGGAGAGUGGAAUUCCUGGUGUAGCGGUGAAAUGCGCAGAUAUCAGGAAGAACACCCGUGGCGAAGGCGGCUCUCUGGGACGGUACUGACGCUGAGACACGAAAGCGUGGGUAGCAAACAGG